ACUGUGGAAGCUUUUUUGUCAGAUACGGUUAUCUUUGGGGUUAAUUAUUAUAGCAGUUGAGUUUUAACACUUGAUUUGCUUUUAAAUCUGAAGCAUUAUAUUACUAAAACAUUUUUUGAUUUGUGAAUAUGUUGUUUAAUGGAUUAUAUCUCAUUUUGCAGUAGUAGUUGCAGUGCCUGAAAGAUUGCCAAAAAAAAUAGUGCUAGCUUUUGCUGAAAAAUGUAACAAUCAACUUACCAAUACUGCCUUCUCUUCCGAUAGCUAUGUUCUCCGUAAUAUUUUAAGAACUCAGUUUUUCAUAAGACUUGUGUUGUUUUUGAUUUUUUCCCAAGUCUGGUUGAUCCUUGUGUUGUUCUUUUUUAAAUGUGUAUUGUCUGUUCAGCUAUUCUGCAGGAGUUGCAUUCUUAAAAACCUUAACCAUAUCAAAAAUUGUGUUUAAAGGAGGAUUAUUGAGAUUGGCAAGCUUUUACUAGGAGGAGUUUAAAUGCUGACGUAUUUAGGAAACUCUAAAUACUGAGCAACUUUAUUCUAACUACAAAAUAGAUAGCCUUUCUUUUGUUUUUCACUUUCACUAUCAUUAGCACUGUGUUAAUAUCUUUUCUUCAUCUAUAACACAAUUAUAACGAUAUAUAAAGCCACUCAAAUAAAGCAGAUAUAUUGUGCUUAAAAAAAAAAAGAAAAAAAAAGAAGUCAUUAUGUGGCACACAAUGAGGUGUGACUUGAAUCUAGAAUCUCCAGUGAAAACCAAUGAAACAGGGUCAAACCCUGUGUCUACUAAAAAUAAAAAAAUGAGCCAGGCGUGGUGGCGCUGAGACAGGAGAAUCACUGGAACUCAGGAGGCAGAGGUUGCAGUGAGCUGAGAUCAUGCCACUGCACUCCAGCUGGGGUGGGGGACAGAGCAAGACUCAAUCUCAGAAACAAACACACGAAGCCAAUAAAGUUGUUUCACUCAACGUGUCAGGCUCAGGUCUCUUGACAGGAUACAUCCGGCAUCCGGGGAAACGUCGAGGGGUGGGGUGGAAUCUAUUUUGUGGCCUCAAGGGAGGUUUUGAGAGAUAGUCUUGCAAACGUGAUGGCCUAAGGAAGCCCCUCUGCCCAAGAAGCCAUAUUCAUUUGUAUCCUGUAGCCACCCACGAGGGAGAAUCCGGCUCUCUACAGACACCCCAACCCCCACCCCACCCCACCCCCUGCCUCGUGAAAUGAGCUCUCGCUCCAUCAGGCUCUAUUCACACCGUCUGGUUUUGUAACCUCCAGCGUGUGUGCAUGGGUUGCGGGGUGGGGUGGGGGCGGCUGUGGACAGAGAAGGGGAUAAAGCGGCGGUGUCCCAUGGGUGCCCGGGACGUGGGACAUGAGUAGAGUGGCCAGAGCCUAGUUAACUCAUCGCCUGUCAGGACGUCUCCCCUCCUGGUCCCCUCUCUGACCUACGCUCCACAUCUUAGCAGUUCAGUGGGGACCUUGUGGGUGGAAGUUGCCAACCCUUUGUACUUUAGCCGACGAAGACUGGGCUCCCAAGAGUCUCCCCGGAGUCGGGGCCUUGGGCAGGUUCACAAGGAUCCUGAUGGCGACGGUUGGUGAUGGUGAUGUAAGUUGGAAGCCUCGGACCAAAUCAGAGGUAUCCAUUUGACCUCGGUGGGACAGGUCAGCUUUGCGGAGUUCCGUGCGUCCUUCCAGAGAUUCAUCCAGCGCUAGCAAGCAUGGUCCCGAGGAUCCCAGCUCCCAGCAGAGGCAAUUUUGUUCACACAGAAUCCUGGGCAGGAAAGUUCUCAGCAGAUUUAGGCCUCCUAGCCAAAAAGUCAAAGCCACUUCUGGGAUUUUUUUUCAAAGAGCCAAUGGUUCCACAAUGGGCCAUGGGUAGUUGUGGAAAUGGAGAGACGUGUUUGCAGAUACAUAUUUGAGACAGAACGGACAGGGCUCGGUCACAGUUCAUGUAGGACACGAGCAGAUGCACAUUGAGAAAACCUUCCCAGCAUCCUAGGUGAACAGAGGUAUGAUUUUUUGAGACAGUCGAGGGAGACGCAACCCCAGAUUUUAGGGUUGGAUCUUUAUUAAUAUGUAGUAUCUAUGAGGAAUCCAAGUCCAGAAAUCAACUCGCCAGUUCUGUACAGCAUUCUGUAGGGAGAUCAAAUCUGGGAUGUCUAAAGUUAAGAAUUCAGGCCGUGGUAAUGGAUUAGAUUAGACGUACUUGAACUUAUUUUGCAAAGAAAGAGAGGGUGGGAGAUAGCGAGAGCCAGAGAGAAGGCGAGAGAGAGAGAGAGAGAGAGAGAGAGAGAGACAAAGACAGAGACAGAGAGAGACAGACAGAGAGACACAAAGAUACACAAAGAGAGAAAGACAGAAAGAGAGAGAGAGACAGACAGAUAAAGACACAGACAGAGAAAGACAGAGAUGGACAGAGACAGAGAGAAACAGAAAGAGAGACAGACAGAGACAGACAGGCAGACAGUCAGAGAAAGAGAGUAAGACAGAAGGCAGACACACACACACACACAGAGAGACAGAUGGACAGACAGAGAGAAAGAGAGAGACAGAGAGAGAGACAGACAGAGAGAAAGAGACAGAGAGAGAAAGAGACAGAGAUAGACAGACAGAAACAGAGACAGAGAGAGAGAGAGAAACAGACAAGGAGAGAGAGAGACAGACAGGCAGAGAAAGACAGUAAGACAGAAGACAGACACAGAGAGAGACAGGCAGAGAGAGACAGACAGAGAGACAGAGACAGAGAAACAGACAGGCAAAGAGAAAGAGAGAAAAAAAACAGACACACAGGGAGAGAGAGACCUACAGACAGACAGGCAGAGAGAGAGACAGAGACAGCGAGACAGAGAAACAGAAAUACAGACAGGCAGACAAAGAGACACACAGAGAAAGACAGAGAUGGACAGAGAGAGACAGAGAGAAACAAAGAGAGAGAGACAGAGAGAGAGAGAGAGAGAGAGACCGGCAGAGAAAGAGAGUAAGACAGAAGACAGACACAGUGAGAGAGACAGGCAGAGAGAGAGACACACAGAGACAGGGAGACAGAGAGAAAGAAAGAGAGAGAGACAGAGAGACAGACAGAGAAAGACAGAGACGGACAGAGAUAAACAGAAAGAGAGAGAGACAGAGACAGAGAGAAAGAGACAGAGAGAGAGAGACAGACAGGCGGAGAGAGAGACACACACACAGGCAGAGAAAGGGAGUAAGACAGAAGACAGACACAGUGAGAGAGACAGACAGAGAGAGAGAGAAAUAGGCAGAGAGAGACAGAGAGAGAGAGAAGACGGAGAAAGAGAGACAGAGAGAGGAGGAGGAAGGGCGUGCUCAGGAAAUAAUUACACAUAUUUUAUAACGCUUUUGAUCCCAUAAACGGUGGCCGAGGUGUGCUUUGAAAACAACAACAACAACAGCAACAAGAGCAGCAGCAGCAGCAAGAGCAGCAGCAGCAUUCACUUACGGAUUUCUAGAACAUAAGAUGUUCUGAAGAGUAGUAAACAUCAACCGGCUCUCACUAUACGUUCAGAGAUUCACAAAAUCGUUAGUAAACAACAGGAGAAAACCGCAGCUUACAUGUCUUGGGGAAAAUAUACGUCUUCCUGAAAACUGGGGAUUUCUACUUCAUCUAAAAAGAAAUACAUAAGAAAAAGGAAAAACACGAACGAAACAAAACAAGCCAACAAACACGGGCCAAGGCACUGUCCCUGGAAAUCUUAAGUGAGCAAAGUAUUAGUUUUCAGAAAGCGUUUCUAUUUUGGACAAAUACUAAGAAGGCCCAGACUAGAGCUGUGACGUCAUUCCUAUUGUGAAACUAUGCUGGCCGGAGGGCGGAGAAACUAAAACAUCAUGAUAAAAGGUGAUUGAAACCCAGCCGGGGUGAAGGUUUCCUAGGGAGGGAGGCCUGAGGAAGGAAGCGGGGUAAAAAACCCACAACUGCAGACCCGCCCGCUUGCCGACGCGGGUCAAGGGCUAUGCCAUCGGCCCAAGCUGCCUCUGGGGAAGUGGGACCGUGCCACCCCCAUCUUCAAAAACGGUGGCCACUGAAUGACUGAGGAUUCCACAAAUGAAGGUCAGCAGUAUCUAUUGAGAUGUUUCUCCCUCUCAUGCGUCUCAUCUGUGUGGUGGAGAAAGGGAAGAAAAGAGGUUCUGAUGGGAAGUUGUCUUCAUGCCUGAGGAAGCUGAAGGCAGGCUGACGGGAAGGAGGGCAUCCUAUGUGACAUUUCCAUACCUGGGCACCCUUUACAAUGCUGGGGCUGCCAGUCCACCCUAGAUGCUCAUUUCAACAACCAGGCGGUUGAUGUGACGGAAGAAGUGUCAAGUCCAGGAGUUUGAGACCAGCCUGAGCAACUGAGCAACACAAGUAGGAGAGCCCAGCUGAAAAAAAUGAAAAAAAGAAGGAGGAGGAGGAGGAAAGAAAAGAAAAGAAAAGAAAAGAAGAGAAAAAAGUUAAAAUUAUCCAAUGGUGCAGGCACAAAAAAGAGUGAUUUCACGUCUUUUCCCACAACAUGGAUAGAGCUGGAAGCAAGUAUGUACCGAGUGAACUGCCUUCUGCUUACAAGUGGGAGGUAAAUAAUGGGUACGCGCACGGUCAUCAAGAUGGAAAUAACAGACACUCCAAAAGGGAGGAGGAGGGUAAGAGGGGGAGGAGGAGGGUAAGAGGGGGACGAGGAAUGAAUAAAUCGCCCGUCAGAGACAACGUUCGCCACGUGGGUAAGGCAUACACUGGAGGUCCACUUCUGCAUCCGGAAGCAGUAGUAUGCUGAUCUAACAAACAAGCACAUACACCCCCUGAGUCUGUAAAAUACCAAAACAACGACGACAGCACCAGCAGCAGCAGCAACAGCAGCAGCAGCACCAACAACAACAACAACAGAACAGAAGCUGGAACACAAAACCACCACCACCACCACCACAGUCGCCAGUCGGGGGUUGGGGGAGGGUGGCCGCGCUCGAGACCCUCAGGCACAGUCCCCUCGGGUUUAAAAAAGAAAACUGCAGACUCAUUCCUGUCUGUAGGCAGGAAAAAUCCAAUCAAAGUUCUCCAUUGCUAGAAAGGGAAGUAGAAUAAGGAGAAGGGCUUAUUGAUCUUCUUGUGAUCGAUUGAGACCACACAUGUAGGAAAAAAUUAAAUACAGACAGCAACACUUUCUACACUGUUCAAAAGCAUUGGAGAUCAGGCGCACCACACACCAUGGGCCUUGAGCCACUAGAGAGAAAAGGCAGGCCAGGUGCGGUGGCUCACGCCUGUCAUCCCAGCACUUUGGGAGGCCGAG
RNAcentral lists this long non-coding RNA (5246 nucleotides) under Homo sapiens (human). RNAcentral describes it as "long non-coding RNA NONHSAT173799.1". The record is from RNAcentral. Lineage: Eukaryota; Metazoa; Chordata; Mammalia; Primates; Hominidae.